AUCGGAGGAAAAGAAACCAACUGGGAUUACCUUAGUAACGGCGAGUGAAGCGGUAAAAGCUCAAAUUUGAAAUCUGGUACUUUCAGUGCCCGAGUUGUAAUUUGUAGAAUUUGUCUUUGAUUAGGUCCUUGUCUAUGUUCCUUGGAACAGGACGUCAUAGAGGGUGAGAAUCCCGUUUGGCGAGGAUACCUUUUCUCUGUAAGACUUUUUCGAAGAGUCGAGUUGUUUGGGAAUGCAGCUCAAAGUGGGUGGUAAAUUCCAUCUAAAGCUAAAUAUUGGCGAGAGACCGAUAGCGAACAAGUACAGUGAUGGAAAGAUGAAAAGAACUUUGAAAAGAGAGUGAAAAAGUACGUGAAAUUGUUGAAAGGGAAGGGCAUUUGAUCAGACAUGGUGUUUUUUGCAUGCACUCGCCUCUCGUGGGCUUGGGCCUCUCAAAAAUUUCACUGGGCCAACAUCAAUUCUGGCAGCAGGAUAAAUCAUUAAGAAUGUAGCUACUUCGGUAGUGUUAUAGCUUUUUGGAAUACUGUUAGCCGGGAUUGAGGACUGCGCUUCGGCAAGGAUGUUGGCAUAAUGGUUAAAUGCCGCCCGUCUA
Molecule: ribosomal RNA, 592 nt
Filed under: Hanseniaspora uvarum
Lineage: Eukaryota; Fungi; Ascomycota; Saccharomycetes; Saccharomycodales; Saccharomycodaceae
Description: eukaryotic LSU rRNA
Rfam family: Eukaryotic large subunit ribosomal RNA
Source: RNAcentral